RNAcentral lists this ribosomal RNA (240 nucleotides) under Sarcogyne regularis. Its description in RNAcentral is "partial 18S ribosomal RNA". The record is from RNAcentral. Lineage: Eukaryota; Fungi; Ascomycota; Lecanoromycetes; Acarosporales; Acarosporaceae.
CGUUAGGGACAUUCACCUUUGAGCCUUGCAUUUUCAGUCUGCUCAAUGCAGGCAACACCAGUCUGUUGCUGAGACCUUUCACGUUGAAGAUCAGCAGCCGCAUCACAGCUUGUUUUGCGGUCCACAGAUCAAACACUGGUGGCCUAUGUGAUUGGCACUUUGCGUGUCUGUAGGUUAAAAUAUGACCGGCGUCACCUAAAAAUAGGUGAUGAAUUAUGCGUUCCGUAGGUGAACCUGCGG